RNAcentral lists this ribosomal RNA (505 nucleotides) under uncultured bacterium. RNAcentral describes it as "bacterial SSU rRNA". It matches the Rfam family "Bacterial small subunit ribosomal RNA", at positions 28 to 523 of the family's 1533-position model. The record is from RNAcentral.
GAUGAACGCUAGCGAUAGGCCUAACACAUGCAAGUCGAGGGGCAUCACAUGAAGUAGCAAUACGGAUGGUGGCGACCGGCGCACGGGUGAGUAACACGUAUGCAACCUGCCUUCAACAAGGGGAUAACCCGUUGAAAGACGGACUAAUACCCUAUAACACAGGGGUCCCGCAUGGGAAUAUUUGUUAAAGGACAACCGGUUGAAGAUGGGCAUGCGUUCCAUUAGCUAGUUGGCGGGGUAACGGCCCACCAAGGCAACGAUGGAUAGGGGAACUGAGAGGUUUAUCCCCCACACUGGUACUGAGACACGGACCAGACUCCUACGGGAGGCAGCAGUGAGGAAUAUUGGUCAAUGGACGCAAGUCUGAACCAGCCACGUCGCGUGAAGGAAGACGGCCCUACGGGUUGUAAACUUCUUUUAUACGGGAAUAAAUGCCCCACGCGUGGGGUUUUGCAUGUACCGUAUGAAUAAGGAUCGGCUAACUCCGUGCCAGCAGCCGCGGUAA